Molecule: long non-coding RNA, 571 nt
Filed under: Mytilus galloprovincialis (Mediterranean mussel)
Lineage: Eukaryota; Metazoa; Mollusca; Bivalvia; Mytilida; Mytilidae
Source: RNAcentral
GUUCAGUGGACCGUGAAAUUGGGGUCAAUACUUUAAUUUGGCGUUAAAAUUAGAAAGAUCAUAUCAUAGGGAACAUGUUUACUAAGUUUCAAGUUGAUCAUGUUGAUUGGACUUCAACUUCAUCAAAAACUACCUUGACCAAAAACUUUAACCUGAAGCGGGACGAACGAACGAACGAACGAUCGGACGCACAGACCAGAAAACAUAAUGCCUCUCUACUAUCGUAGGUGGGGCAAAUCCAAUAAAAAUGUAUCGAAAAUAUAGCACAAAAGAAAUCAUGAAAUAACUCAGUGCAAUCCCAAUCUAAGAUGCAAACACAUCAAAAGAAAAACAAAAUCACACCAUAUCUCCACAUGACACAAAACAAAAACCAACUGCAAUCAACAAAUAAGACGCAAAGAGUCACAAGAAAUUUAAAAAAAAUCCAUUCGCGGGCAACUACCGACUUAUUAUACUGUAUGAUCGAACACAAGCAUAGCCAAAAUAUGACACCAAAGAAAUAAGACGCAAACUAAAUUACAAGAAAUUACAAGAUCAAUAAAUGAUGUAUAAAAAAUAAUUCCGAGCAACA